AAAAAGACAAACCCUGGUUUCCGUGCCCAACGUUUGACCGUCCGUCUUAUUUUAAAAAAUUAAGAAAAAAAAUUAAAAAGACAAGUCACGUAUAAAAUAUUAAUCAUGUUUUAUCAUCUAACAACAAUAAAAAUAUGAAUUAUAAAAAAAUUUCAUAUAAGACAGACAAUCAAAGUUGGACACGGAAAUCUAGGAUUUGCCUUUUU
RNAcentral lists this microRNA precursor (206 nucleotides) under Oryza nivara. Its description in RNAcentral is "MIR812 microRNA precursor family". It matches the Rfam family "MIR812 microRNA precursor family". Lineage: Eukaryota; Viridiplantae; Streptophyta; Magnoliopsida; Poales; Poaceae. The record is from Rfam by way of RNAcentral.